Molecule: unclassified non-coding RNA, 389 nt
Filed under: uncultured Pleosporales
Lineage: Eukaryota; Fungi; Ascomycota; Dothideomycetes; Pleosporales
Description: sequence contains ITS2
Rfam family: 5.8S ribosomal RNA (bases 1-154)
Source: RNAcentral
AACUUUUGGCAAUGGAUCUCUUGGUUCUGGCAUCGAUGAAGAAUGCAGCGAAAUGCGAUAAGUAGUGUGAAUUGCAGAAUUCAGUGAAUCAUCGAAUUUUUGAACGCACAUUGCGCCCCUUGGUAUCCCGAGGGGCAUGCCUGUUCGAGCGUCAUUUCAACCUCUCAAGCUUUGCUUGGUAUUGGGCAUCAUUCUCUCCUUUUUAAUAAGGGUAAAUGUGCCUUAAAUAUAGGCAGCGGCAUGUACUAGUUCCGAGCGUAGCAGUUUUAAACAUUUUCGCUUUAGGAGUGUAGUGUAGUGUCAGCUAUAAUCAAAGUCUUAACUUUUUAUUUGACCUCGGAUCAGGUAGGGAUACCCGCUGAAUUUAAGCAUAUCAAUAAGCGGAGGCU